AAGGGAGACCUAAUUCAGGUAUGGGACGAAAAAAAAGUAGUCGCUACCAAGAAUCAAUCCCAAAAGGUCGGAGCGAGGUAUGAGGCUUUCAAACUAGGUUCUGGGUUCAAACAAGACCUGAAUCAGGAACAAGGGCUAUUAGCUCAGGUGGUUAGAGCGCACCCCUGAUAAGGGUGAGGUCCCUGGUUCGAGUCCAGGAUGGCCCACCUGCGCAGGUGGCAAAAACAAGAGAAGCGAGGAAUCAGCACCUUAUCUUAUCUAUAUAUAAGAGAGAAUGCUGGCUCUGAGUAAAGAGUCCAGAGGAACCUUGAAAACUGCAUAGAGCUAGGUGAAAAAGCCAAAAAAGAAGACCGCAA
Molecule: transfer RNA, 356 nt
Filed under: uncultured Microcystis sp.
Lineage: Bacteria; Bacillati; Cyanobacteriota; Cyanophyceae; Chroococcales; Microcystaceae
Description: partial 16S-23S ribosomal RNA intergenic spacer
Rfam family: tRNA (bases 133-206)
Source: RNAcentral